Molecule: ribosomal RNA, 253 nt
Filed under: uncultured bacterium
Lineage: Bacteria
Description: partial 16S ribosomal RNA
Rfam family: Bacterial small subunit ribosomal RNA
Source: RNAcentral
UACGUAGGGCGCGAGCGUUGUCCGGAAUUAUUGGGCGUAAAGGGCUCGUAGGCGGUCUGUCGCGUCGGGAGUGAAAACUCAGGGCUUAACCCUGAGCCUGCUUCCGAUACGGGCAGACUAGAGGUAUGCAGGGGAGAACGGAAUUCCUGGUGUAGCGGUGAAAUGCGCAGAUAUCAGGAGGAACACCGGUGGCGAAGGCGGGUCUCUGGGCCGAUACUGACGCUGAGGAGCGAAAGCGUGGGGAGCGAACAGG